GGGGAAUAUUGGACAAUGGGGGAAACCCUGAUCCAGCAAUGCCGCGUGUGUGAAGAAGGCCUGCGGGUUGUAAAGCACUUUCAGCAGGGAAGAAAAGCUCGGGGCUAAUAUCCCCGGGUCUUGACGUAACCUGAAGAAGAAGCACCGGCUAACUCCGUGCCAGCAGCCGCGGUAAUACGGAGGGUGCGAGCGUUAAUCGGAAUUACUGGGCGUAAAGCGCACGUAGGCGGCUUCCUAAGUCGGAUGUGAAAGCCCCGGGCUUAACCUGGGAAUUGCAUCCGAUACUGGGUAACUAGAGUACGGGAGAGGGAAGUGGAAUUUCCGGUGUAGCGGUGAAAUGCGUAGAUAUCGGAAGGAACACCAGUGGCGAAGGCGACUUCCUGGCCCAGUACUGACGCUGAGGUGCGAAAGCGUGGGGAGCAAA
Molecule: ribosomal RNA, 424 nt
Filed under: uncultured bacterium
Lineage: Bacteria
Description: bacterial SSU rRNA
Rfam family: Bacterial small subunit ribosomal RNA
Source: RNAcentral